RNAcentral lists this ribosomal RNA (253 nucleotides) under uncultured bacterium. RNAcentral describes it as "partial 16S ribosomal RNA". It matches the Rfam family "Bacterial small subunit ribosomal RNA", at positions 524 to 776 of the family's 1533-position model. The record is from RNAcentral.
UACAGAGGUCUCAAGCGUUGUUCGGAUUCAUUGGGCGUAAAGGGUGCGUAGGUGGCGGGGUUAGUCAGGUGUGAAAUCUCGGGGCUCAACCCCGAAACUGCACUUGAUACUGCCUUGCUAGAGUACUGGAGAGGAGAUUGGAAUUUACGGUGUAGCAGUGAAAUGCGUAGAUAUCGUAAGGAAGACCAGUGGCGAAGGCGAAUCUCUGGACAGUUACUGACACUGAGGCACGAAGGCCAGGGGAGCAAACGGG